CCUACGGGAGGCAGCAGUGAGGAAUAUUGGUCAAUGGACGAGAGUCUGAACCAGCCAAGUAGCGUGAAGGAUGACUGCCCUAUGGGUUGUAAACUUCUUUUAUAUGGGAAUAAAAUGUUCCACGUGUGGGAUUUUGUAUGUACCAUAUGAAUAAGGAUCGGCUAACUCCGUGCCAGCAGCCGCGGUAAUACGGAGGAUCCGAGCGUUAUCCGGAUUUAUUGGGUUUAAAGGGAGCGUAGGUGAAUUGUUAAGUCAGUUGUGAAAGUUUGCGGCUCAACCGUAAAAUUGCAGUUGAAACUGGCAGUCUUGAGUACAGUAGAGGUGGGCGGAAUUCGUGGUGUAGCGGUGAAAUGCUUAGAUAGCACGAAGAACUCCGAUUGCGAAGGCAGUUCACUGGACUGCAACUGACACUGAGGCUCGAAAGUGUGGGUAUCAAACAGGAUUAGAUACCCGUGUAGUC
This 460-nucleotide ribosomal RNA is filed under the name uncultured bacterium. RNAcentral's name for it is "partial 16S ribosomal RNA". It matches the Rfam family "Bacterial small subunit ribosomal RNA", at positions 338 to 795 of the family's 1533-position model. The record is from RNAcentral.